This 465-nucleotide ribosomal RNA is filed under the name uncultured Pseudomonadota bacterium. RNAcentral's name for it is "bacterial SSU rRNA". It matches the Rfam family "Bacterial small subunit ribosomal RNA", at positions 198 to 644 of the family's 1533-position model. The record is from RNAcentral. Lineage: Bacteria; Pseudomonadati; Pseudomonadota.
GGAGGAAAGCAGGGGAUCGUAAGACCUCGCGCUAUUGGAUGAGCCAAAGUCGGAUUAGCUAGUUGGUGGGGUAAUGGCCUACCAAGGCGACAAUCCGUAGCUGGUCUGAGAGGACGACCAGCCACACCGGAACUGAGACACGGUCCGGACUCCUACGGGAGGCAGCAGUGGGGAAUAUUGGACAAUGGGGGAAACCCUGAUCCAGCGACGCCGCGUGUGUGAAGAAGGCCUGCGGGUUGUAAAGCACUUUUAGUGGGGACAAAAAGCUUCGAGCUAAUACCUCGGGGUCUUGAUUUAACCCAAAGAAAAAGCACCGGCUAACUCUGUGCCAGCAGCCGCGGUAAUACAGAGGGUGCGAGCGUUAAUCGGAAUUACUGGGCGUAAAGCGCGCGUAGACGGUUUUGUAAGUCAGAUGUGAAAUCCCUGGGCUCAACCUGGGAACUGCGUUUGAAACUACAAAGCUAG